CGUGUAGGCGGUUGGUCAAGUCGGGUGUGAAAGCCCGGGGCUCAGCCCCGGAAGUGCAUCCGAAACUAGCCAGCUAGAGCGCGAUAGAGGAGGGUGGAAUUCCUGGUGUAGCGGUGAAAUGCGUAGAUAUCAGGAGGAACACCGGCGGCGAAGGCGGCCCUCUGGAUCGUUGCUGACGCUGAGACGCGAAAGCGUGGGGAGCAAACAGGAUUAGAUACCCUGGUAGUCCACGCCUUAAACGAUGGGUACUAGGUGUUCGGGGUGUUGACCCCCUGAGUGCCGCAGUUAACGCAUUAAGUACCCCGCCUGGGACUACGGCCGCAAGGUUAAA
Molecule: ribosomal RNA, 331 nt
Filed under: uncultured bacterium
Lineage: Bacteria
Description: bacterial SSU rRNA
Rfam family: Bacterial small subunit ribosomal RNA
Source: RNAcentral